GGAUUGUGGCUCAGUGGUAGAGUGCUCGCCUAGCAUGCAUGAGGCCCUGGGUUUGAACCUCAGCACCA
This 68-nucleotide transfer RNA is filed under the name Marmota monax (woodchuck). RNAcentral's name for it is "tRNA.Ala". The stretch from base 5 to 65 matches the Rfam family "tRNA", at positions 6 to 65 of the family's 71-position model. Rfam says of the family: Transfer RNA (tRNA) molecules are approximately 80 nucleotides in length. Their secondary structure includes four short double-helical elements and three loops (D, anti-codon, and T loops). Further hydrogen bonds mediate the characteristic L-shaped molecular structure. tRNAs have two regions of fundamental functional importance: the anti-codon, which is responsible for specific mRNA codon recognition, and the 3' end, to which the tRNAs corresponding amino acid is attached (by aminoacyl-tRNA synthetases). tRNAs cope with the degeneracy of the genetic code in two manners: having more than one tRNA (with a specific anti-codon) for a particular amino acid; and 'wobble' base-pairing, i.e. permitting non-standard base-pairing at the 3rd anti-codon position. Lineage: Eukaryota; Metazoa; Chordata; Mammalia; Rodentia; Sciuridae. The record is from RNAcentral.